AAGCCUGCGAAACCACCCACCACUCCUGCCGGUCCAGACACCACUCACACCAAUCGACGGCGCCUCUGCCUCGCCAGUCGCCGCAGCAUCGCCAUACGCCAGACGCCCAGAUAUCAGUGCACUUGUGCCCUAAUCGCCACUCCUGCUGGUGGCACGAUGAGCUAAGUGUGCUGGUGAUGAUGGAAACUCCAAGACAACUUCGAAUAUGAUGAGUGUGCUGCGAGUCGAUCAGCGAUGCGCUACUGCUACUUGCGAGUCUGCAACAGUCUACCAUGACAUUGGAUUUGUGAUCCAAUGAUAUCUUAAGCAGAGCUCAUAUGUGGAAACACUUAGUAUUACCAAUGAAGAGGAAGAUGUGA
Molecule: long non-coding RNA, 359 nt
Organism: Ipomoea triloba (trilobed morning glory)
Lineage: Eukaryota; Viridiplantae; Streptophyta; Magnoliopsida; Solanales; Convolvulaceae
Exons: 3
Source: RefSeq, a predicted model, not a curated record